Molecule: long non-coding RNA, 982 nt
Filed under: Homo sapiens (human)
Lineage: Eukaryota; Metazoa; Chordata; Mammalia; Primates; Hominidae
Description: HSALNT0296869
Source: RNAcentral
GUGAGGCUGGCUUGCCUUCUUGAUUUAUGUGGCCAAAGGGUAGCAGCCACCUCUGCAAAGGUCCAGUGAAGAGUCCCCUUUCCCCCAAGUAAUGCCGAGAAGAGAGAGGCAGGUGCAGCCAGCGAUGCGGCGGAGUCUCCGCAAGAGAGCGAGGGCCUGGCGUGGGGCGCACACGCACGCGCGUCUUGGGUCCCUGCAGAGAGGUGUCCCCAGUGCUGUGCCCUGUUCGGUGCCGGGAGCGGUGCCACGGGCCCGCCGCCGCCCUAGUAAGGUGUCGGGGCCUUUGCGCGCCUAGCGCCAUGGCCGCGUCGCCGCUCCUCCGCACCUCCCAGGCUCCACGAACACGGCCAGGCAUUUCCAAGUAGAGGGCAGAACCCUCUCCCCAUCUCCCCACUUAGCACCUGGGAGGCCCCGUGGAGGAGGCUAGGACCUCUGGGGGUUCCACACUCUGCUGGUGGUGCUGGCUCCUGGCGGGAGCUUCUGCCCUCACGGGGCGGCCUCCCGGUUCCGCUGUAGGAAAGCCCUGCCCGACGUCUCCUGGAAGGGCCCUCCAUGGCCUCUCCAAAUCCUUCCAACCCGAACAAUGGAAGGGAAGAAGGAAAGGAGGGGCUGAGGAAGGAAACAGACACUGACCAAAGCCCAGAGGUUGGAAACCAUGGCUCUUAAAAGCAGAGAUGAAGAGAAAAGAGUGAGUUCAAAAGACAGAGCAUGAGAAAGACCCCACCCGCUAUUACUGGCUUUGAAGAUGGAGAGAAGAGGCCACAAGCCAAGGAAUGCAGCAGCUUCCAGAAGCAUGAAAGAGCCCUUAGGUUACAGCCAGCAAGGGAAGGAAACUGCGACCCUACAGCCACAAGACUUGACUUCUGCCAACAGCCAGAAGGAGCAGGAAAUACGUUCUCCCUGAGAGCCUCCAGAAAGGAACACAGUCUGCCCACACCUUAAUUUUAGCCUGGGGAGGCCCAUACCAGGUCUCUGCUUUACA